GUGGACAUCAAAGGUACGCUGCAAGAUGACCUGCUCUACGGGUACAGUCCCAACCAGGCGCCUGAUGCUGACACAGCAAUCACCUUCAGUGGCACUGUGGAACAGAUCACCGACCUGGACGAAAAGAAGGAGCUUCUUGUAGCCACUUUAGUCAUCGAAUUCACCUGGCAGGACAGCCGGCUGACGUGGUGGCCAGAGUACUACGGGAACAUCCAGACCCUCAUCGUGCGGGAUAACAGCAUCUGGACACCUACAUUUACUCUGAAGAGGAA
Long non-coding RNA from Branchiostoma floridae (Florida lancelet), 272 nucleotides. RefSeq lists it as uncharacterized. Lineage: Eukaryota; Metazoa; Chordata; Leptocardii; Amphioxiformes; Branchiostomatidae. The record is from RefSeq and is a predicted model, not a curated record. The transcript is spliced from 3 exons.